This 1886-nucleotide long non-coding RNA is filed under the name Mus caroli (Ryukyu mouse). Its description in RNAcentral is "RIKEN cDNA 4930524B17 gene (MGP_CAROLIEiJ_G0006292.1)". Lineage: Eukaryota; Metazoa; Chordata; Mammalia; Rodentia; Muridae. The record is from RNAcentral.
AUAUGUACAUAACCACAAGGAAGAAAAAAGAGAUUAUGUGGUGUGGUUGUGGGGAGAAGCUUGCUUACACUAAUUGAUAUAAUGAGCCCCAUCUUAAUUGUGAAAAAAAUUCUGGGCAGGAGAUUCUGCACUGUUUGCUGUCCUGAUGCCCAGUGCCAUCAUGAAUCUCAGCAUAUAGAAAGUCUUCAGUCAAAGGUGAUAAUCCAGAAAGAUCCGACAAGCAACUGAAAGAGUCAGAUGCAAAUAUUUGCACCCAACCAAUGGUCAGAAGCUGCUGAUCCUUGUGGUUGACUUAGGGAAAAGCGGGAAGAAACUGCGGAGGAAUACAUGGGAGAAUAUAGAUGGAGGAAAGAGAAUGAGAAUAUUAUGUCAUUCAUUCAGUCACUCGCUUACAGUGGAGGAAACACAGUGACAAACGAGCAAUGUGGGAAGUGGAAAUGCUUUCACUUCCACAGCACUAUUCAUCAUCAAAGGAAGACAUCAGGACAGGAACUCAAAUGAGGCAGGAACGUAGAGGAAAAAGUUGAUGCAAGACCAGAGUGAGGCUGCUUGCUGCCUUGCUCUCUCCAUGGCUUACUUGGGCUUCCUUUUUAUCAAAUGCAGGAUCACCAACCCAGGGAUGACACUACCUAAAAUAGGCUGAGCAGUCCCACAUCAAACUUAAGAAAAUGCUGUACAGCCCUACCUACAACCCAAUUUUAUGGAGGUAUUUUCUCUAUUGAGGUUCCCUUCUCUCACAGGACUUUAACUUGUAUCAAGUUGACAAAACUAUCCAACCAUCAUAUGACCACAAUAUUCAUCUCAGUUCAGGCUUUCUCAUUGAAUCUUCUGCCUGCCUUCCUCAUUCCAUAAUGUAUAAUUUUACCCCAUGGGUCAUUUAUUUAAACACAUCAUCUACAUAAAUUUACAAUAAUCACCUUUAUUCCUCAUGUUAUAAUCUAUGAUCAAAGGAACUCAUUUAUUUUUAAUUUUUUAUUUAUUUUUCUCUCAUACAAUACAUUCUGACUGCAACUUCUCCUAUCUUCUUCUUCCGAGACCCUCACCAAUUCCCCUCUACCCCAUAUGUACACAUCCGCAUCCACCCUCAGAGACAUCAACUAAAGAAGGCACAAUAAGAUGUUAAUAAUAAAAGGCACAAGCCCUCACACCAAGGCUGAAUAAGGUAAACCCAUAGGAGGAAAAGUCAGAGGUACCCCUACUCUCAUUCUCAAGAGUCCAGCCAAAAUACCAAGCCAACAACUUUAAUCUAUAUGUAGAGUACCUUGCUCAGACCCAUGCAGACUUUCUUAUUGCCCCUUCAGUCUCUGUAAAACUCAUGAGACCUUCUUAGUUGGUCUCAAUUAAGCUUAACUUAGCAAGCUUUCUCAUUGUUUGUCAGAGGAAAUGACUACACAGUUCCACCAAGUAGCCAUGUUACUAACUUUCUCUGUAUUAUUAUCUUUACUGGAAAGCUCUCCACUGAAAGUGUUCAUAAUUGAUCGGUCAAACACACUGUCAGUGUUCACAAUUCUCCCAUGCAUAGGAUGCUACAAAAUGAAUUUUAACAAAUAGCAUGCUAAAAUGCUUAAAGGCCAGAUACUUCCUUUUGAAAAAAAAUAAUUAAGUCUGGAUUUAUGAAUAUUUAAUUCCAGAAGUCAUGUAAUUUUCCAAUCUAAGUAUUUUCAUUCUUUUGUAUAACCAAAGUCUCAGUACAUGAAAAUGUCAGUCAGUGAAGCAUUUCAAACUAGAAAGUCAGGCAAUCACAGACCUUCCCCUAAGGGAUAAUACUACUUUAUGCACUUUUUCAAUGUUAUAAAUUUUACUCAAAAUGUCUAAGACUUUGAAGAAGUUCUAUGAUUCUACCAGUAUUUUUUAAUGUAUUAUCAGAAUGAAGAAUGAUUUAUGGC